UACAGAGGUCCCAAGCGUUGUUCGGAUUCACUGGGCGUAAAGGGUGCGUAGGUGGUAAGGCAAGUCAGGUGUGAAAUCUCCGGGCUCAACCCGGAAAUGGCAUUCGAAACUACCUUGCUAGAGGGUUUGAGGGGGGACUGGAAUACUUGGUGUAGCAGUGAAAUGCGUAGAUAUCGGGAGGAACACCAGUGGCGAAGGCGACUACCUGGCCUGUUCUUGACGCUGAGGCGCGAAAGCUAGGGGAGCAAACGGG
RNAcentral lists this ribosomal RNA (253 nucleotides) under uncultured bacterium. Its description in RNAcentral is "partial 16S ribosomal RNA". It matches the Rfam family "Bacterial small subunit ribosomal RNA", at positions 524 to 776 of the family's 1533-position model. The record is from RNAcentral.